Molecule: ribosomal RNA, 162 nt
Filed under: Pediococcus pentosaceus
Lineage: Bacteria; Bacillati; Bacillota; Bacilli; Lactobacillales; Lactobacillaceae
Description: partial 23S ribosomal RNA
Rfam family: Bacterial large subunit ribosomal RNA
Source: RNAcentral
AAACGCUGAAAGCAUCUAAGUGUGAAACUCACCUCGAGAUUAGAUUUCCCAUUGCCUUCGGGCAAGUAAGACCCCUGAAAGAUGAUCAGGUAGAUAGGCUAGAAGUGGAAGUGUAGUGAUACAUGGAGCGGACUAGUACUAAUCGGUCGAGGACUUAACCAA